AACGCACGAGACCUGCGGACCUGCGGAGGGAUCAUUACCGAGUUAUACAACUCCCAAACCCACUGUGAACCUUACCUCAGUUGCCUCGGCGGGAACGCCCCGGCCGCCUGCCCCCGCGCCGGCGCCGGACCCAGGCGCCCGCCGCAGGGACCCCAAACUCUCUUGCAUUACGCCCAGCGGGCGGAAUUUCUUCUCUGAGUUGCACAAGCAAAAACAAAUGAAUCAAAACUUUUAGCAAUG
Molecule: unclassified non-coding RNA, 240 nt
Filed under: soil metagenome
Description: partial contains 5.8S ribosomal RNA, internal transcribed spacer 2, and large subunit ribosomal RNA
Source: RNAcentral